AAUGGGGGAAACCCUGACGCAGCGACGCCGCGUGAGCGAUGAAGGCCUUCGGGUCGUAAAGCUCUGUCGCAAGGGAAUAACAAAAUGAAUGUACUUUGCAAGAAAGGAUCGGCUAACUUCGUGCCAGCAGCCGCGGUAAGACCAGGGAUCCUCGCGUUGUUCGGAAUCAUUGGGCGUAAAGCGGGCGUAGGUGGNUACAUAAGUCAGAUGUGAAAGCCUUGGGCGUAACCCAAGAAGUGCAUUUGAUACUGUGUAGCUUGAGUGUGGUAGUGGCUACUAGAAUUCCUGGUGUAGUGGUGAAAUACGUAGAUAUCAGGAGGAAUACCGGAGGCGAAGGCGGGUAGCUGGGCCAACACUGACACUGAGACCCGAAAGCGUGGGGAUCAAA
This 388-nucleotide ribosomal RNA is filed under the name uncultured bacterium. Its description in RNAcentral is "bacterial SSU rRNA". It matches the Rfam family "Bacterial small subunit ribosomal RNA", at positions 370 to 772 of the family's 1533-position model. The record is from RNAcentral.